This 1531-nucleotide long non-coding RNA is filed under the name Lactuca sativa (garden lettuce). Its description in RNAcentral is "long non-coding RNA (LSAT_LNC009519)". The record is from RNAcentral. Lineage: Eukaryota; Viridiplantae; Streptophyta; Magnoliopsida; Asterales; Asteraceae.
AAAAAAGGAAAAAAAAUCAAACAACUCACAAUAAAACUUCAAUCAGCAAACACAUAAAAUUCAAUUCUUUUAUCAAUCAAAAUCAACAACAACAAAAAAAAAAUCAAAUAACUCUCACAACUCUUUUUGUUAUUCCAAUUAUAAAGUGUGAAAUCAUGCAUUACAUGAGCUACGAAGCUAAUGGUUGAGUUAGGCAAAUUGGUGACUUGUUUUUUUUUAUUGGGUAUGGGUCAUUGUGUAUUUCAUCAUUGGUGUCUUGUUUUUGUUUCAAAAACACUCUCAUGAUGCACUUCCUCUCCUGUUUGAGCUUACAACUUACAGAACAAAGCAGAGGGCCUAACAUAUCAAAUACCAUAGAAAAUGAGAACAUAUGAAUGUAACAUAACACAAAGAAACAAAUAUGAUGAGUGUAAUAAAUGUUAUAUGUACUUUAGCAUCAAGCAUGAACACAUUUCAAAUGGUGGAGCUUGAAGUCAUGGGUCACUUUUUGGCAAAAAAAAAAUGAGAGUAAUCUACGAAUAUUGCAAAUUCAUUUGCAGAGGACCCAACAUAAACAAGAAAUUGCAAAAUAAAAUUAGGGCCAAUAACAAGUUAUCAACUAUCAAUGGUAUAUGCUUUAGGAAAACAAAAGUGUUGAAAAGCUCCCCAACGCAUGGAAUUGAUAAAUAGAUGAACGAGAUUACCAAAUUAGGGCUUGUAAGAGAUUGUGGCUGUAAAACUGUGCCUCCCACAUCCAGUGACAAUCACCUUCACCGACUGUAUUGGUGACGAUCAUCUUCACCUGCGGCUAUCAACAGAGAACAUUUUUCUUGCUGCUGGAAGGAGGCUGGAGCUCAGGCGAGUCGGCGACGAAGGUGUUGGUCGGAGGUAGGAGGAUCCGAUGCAAAGUUUGGAGGUGGGAGGAGAGUAUGAAUACUUCGGGGGGAAGGAGAAGGAAGAAAUCGCCUCAAAAUGCAAGGAGAAAGAAAGGGCAAAUACAUGAAGGCAAAAGAAAUGACCGAGUCAGCGUUAUUUUUUUGGAGGACCGAAUCAGAUGUGAUGGACUACCAUGGACAUAUCCUAAUCAAACAAACAGAAUCGGACCGAGUCUGAGAAAAAUACUGAUUGGACUGAGUCGGAAGGAAAACAAACAGUCCCUAAACCGAUCACACCCUUAGAUAGCCAUAUUGGAAACUGGGUUGAAGUAGCUGAAGCCCUAAUUUUCCUAAAUCAGCAUGAAAUUUACAUCAGUAACUGGUUAUCUUCAUAUUUCUCUGACACACAAGCAAAAAAAAAUCCCCAAAUAUCAAGCCCUAAAAGGUGGUUAACAUUAUCGGAGGUAAAAACUCAUGUAUCAUAUAUGUUUCUGUUUUUGAUAAUUAAUACUUUCAUGUUGUUAAUCAACGAUUGUGGUGUAUAAUCAUCUACGGUUGGUUAAAGAUUAAUGUUAUACUAGCUUUGAUGAUUGUAGCCAUAUUUCUUUCUCAUCAUGUAGCUUCACAAAUGACACAGUAAAAAGAUUUUAAUCUCCAAAAGCCUUUUGCUUAUCAUU